GACGAACGCUGGCGGCGUGCUUAACACAUGCAAGUCGAACGGAAAGGCCCUGCGUUUGCGGGGUGGUCGAGUGGCGAACGGGUGAGUAAAACGUGAGUAAACCGUCCUUGAAAUACGGAUAAAUUCAGGAAAAUGGGGCGAAUAUCGGAGAGAAGAUUCUGAUGCGUGGGGGGGGUAGGAAAGUGUCGGCGGUUGGGGCUGGACUCGCGGGUUACCCGCUGCAUGGUGGAGUAGGGGCAUACCAGGGCUUUGACGGGUAGCCGGCAUGAGAGGGUGAACGGCGACAUUGGGCCUGAGAUACGGCCCAGACUGCUACGUGACGCAGCAGUGGAGAAUAUUGCACAGUGAGCGGAAGCCUGAUGCAGCAGCGUCGCGUGCGGGAUGACGUGUUACGGGUUGUAAACCGCUUUCGCAUGUGACGAAGCCUGCGUGACGGUAAUGGGUAAAAAAGCACCGGCUAACUACGUG
Molecule: ribosomal RNA, 468 nt
Filed under: uncultured bacterium
Lineage: Bacteria
Description: partial 16S ribosomal RNA
Rfam family: Bacterial small subunit ribosomal RNA
Source: RNAcentral